This 460-nucleotide ribosomal RNA is filed under the name Kingella denitrificans. RNAcentral's name for it is "bacterial SSU rRNA". It matches the Rfam family "Bacterial small subunit ribosomal RNA", at positions 30 to 485 of the family's 1533-position model. The record is from RNAcentral. Lineage: Bacteria; Pseudomonadati; Pseudomonadota; Betaproteobacteria; Neisseriales; Neisseriaceae.
AUUGAACGCUGGCGGCAUGCUUUACACAUGCAAGUCGGACGGCAGCGGGGGUGCUUGCACCUGCCGGCGAGUGGCGAACGGGUGAGUAACAUAUUGGAAUGUACCGAGUAGUGGGGGAUAACCAAUCGAAAGAUUGGCUAAUACCGCAUACGUCCUGAGGGGGAAAGCAGGGGAUCUUCGGACCUUGCGCUAUUUGAGCAGCCAAUAUCUGAUUAGCUAGUUGGUGGGGUAAAGGCCCACCAAGGCGACGAUCAGUAGCGGGUCUGAGAGGAUGAUCCGCCACACUGGGACUGAGACACGGCCCAGACUCCUACGGGAGGCAGCAGUGGGGAAUUUUGGACAAUGGGGGCAACCCUGAUCCAGCCAUGCCGCGUGUCUGAAGAAGGCCUUCGGGUUGUAAAGGACUUUGUUAGGGAAGAAAAGAGAAGUGUUAAUACCACUUUUGCUGACGGUACUAAGA